RNAcentral lists this ribosomal RNA (428 nucleotides) under uncultured prokaryote. RNAcentral's name for it is "bacterial SSU rRNA". It matches the Rfam family "Bacterial small subunit ribosomal RNA", at positions 355 to 796 of the family's 1533-position model. The record is from RNAcentral.
UGGGGAAUUUUCCGCAAUGGGCGCAAGCCUGACGGAGCAAUACCGCGUGAGGGAGGAAGGCCUUUGGGUUGUAAACCUCUUUUCUUAGGGAAGAAGAAAGUGACGGUACCUAAGGAAUCAGCACCGGCUAACUCCGUGCCAGCAGCCGCGGUAAUACGGAGGGUGCAAGCGUUAUCCGGAUUUACUGGGUUUAAAGGGUGCGUAGGCGGCUUUUUAAGUCAGUGGUGAAAGCCUAGACACUUAAUGUCAGAAGUGCCAUUGAUACUGAAGAGCUUGAGUCAAGGAGAGGUAAGCAGAAUUUGUGGUGUAGCAGUGAAAUGCUUAGAUACCAUGAGGAAUACCAACAGCGAAAGCAGCUUACUGGCCUUGUACUGACGCUGUGGCACGAAAGCGUGGGGAGCAAACAGGAUUAGAUACCCCCGUAGUCC